RNAcentral lists this ribosomal RNA (466 nucleotides) under uncultured bacterium. Its description in RNAcentral is "bacterial SSU rRNA". It matches the Rfam family "Bacterial small subunit ribosomal RNA", at positions 198 to 645 of the family's 1533-position model. The record is from RNAcentral.
GGAGGAAAGUAGGGGAUCGAAAGACCUCAUGCUUUUGGAGCGGCCGAUGUCUGAUUAGCUAGUUGGUACGGUAAUGGCUUACCAAGGCAACGAUCAGUAGUUGGUCUGAGAGGACGACCAGCCACACUGGGACUGAGACACGGCCCAGACUCCUACGGGAGGCAGCAGUGGGGAAUUUUGGACAAUGGGCGCAAGCCUGAUCCAGCAAUGCCGCGUGAGUGAAGAAGGCCUUCGGGUUGUAAAGCUCUUUCAGUUGAGAAGAAAAGAUUGUGACUAAUAAUUGCAAUUCAUGACGGUAUCAACAGAAGAAGCACCGGCUAACUACGUGCCAGCAGCCGCGGUAAUACGUAGGGUGCGAGCGUUAAUCGGAAUUACUGGGCGUAAAGGGUGCGCAGGCGGUUCUGUAAGUCAGAUGUGAAAUCCCCGGGCUUAACCUAGGAACUGCGUUUGAAACUACAAAGCUAGA